CCCGCACAAGCGGUGGAGCAUGUGGUUUUAAUUCGAAGCAACGCGCAGAACCUUACCAGCCCUUGACAUCCCGGUCGCGGAUCGCAGAGAUGCUUUCCUUCAGUUCGGCUGGACCGGUGACAGGUGCUGCAUGGCUGUCGUCAGCUCGUGUCGUGAGAUGUUGGGUUAAGUCCCGCAACGAGCGCAACCCCCGCCUUCAGUUGCCAACGGUUCGGCCGUGCACUCUGGAGGAACUGCCUGUGACAAGCAGGAGGAAGGUGGGGAUGACGUCAAGUCCUCAUGGCCCUUAUGGGCUGGGCUACACACGUGCUACAAUGGCGGUGACAGAGGGAUGCAAUACCGCGAGGUGGAGCAAAUCCCUAAAAGCCGUCUCAGUUCGGAUUGUUCUCUGCAACUCGAGAGCAUGAAGUUGGAAUCGCUAGUAAUCGCAGAUCAGCUCGCUGCGGUGAAUACGUUCCCGGGCCUU
Molecule: ribosomal RNA, 466 nt
Filed under: uncultured Alphaproteobacteria bacterium
Lineage: Bacteria; Pseudomonadati; Pseudomonadota; Alphaproteobacteria
Description: bacterial SSU rRNA
Rfam family: Bacterial small subunit ribosomal RNA
Source: RNAcentral